AAUAUUGGACAAUGGGGGCAACCCUGAUCCAGCCAUGCCGCGUGUGUGAAGAAGUUCUUCGGUUUGUAAAGCACUUUAAGUUGGGUGGAAGGGCUUUAGGUUAAUACCCUGAAGUUUUGACGUUACCAACAGAAUAAGCACCGUCUAACUUUGUUCCAGCAGCCGCGUUAAUACAGAGGGUGCAAGCGUUAAUCGAAAUUACUGGGCGUAAAGCGCGCGUAGGUGGUUCAGUAAGAUGGGUGUGAAAUCCCCGGGCUUAAACUGGGAACUGCUUUCAUAACUGCUGAGCUAGAGUACGGUAGAGGGUAGAGGAAUUUCCUGUGUAGCGGUGAAAUGCGUAGAUAUAGGAAGGAACACCAGUGGCGAAGGCGACUACCUGGACUGAUACUGACACUGAGGUGCGAAAGCGUGGGGAGCAAACA
This 422-nucleotide ribosomal RNA is filed under the name uncultured bacterium. RNAcentral's name for it is "partial 16S ribosomal RNA". It matches the Rfam family "Bacterial small subunit ribosomal RNA", at positions 360 to 774 of the family's 1533-position model. The record is from RNAcentral.